Neopsephotus bourkii (Bourke's parrot) is the source of this 193-nucleotide long non-coding RNA. RefSeq lists it as uncharacterized. The transcript has 2 exons. The record is from RefSeq and is a predicted model, not a curated record. NCBI's taxonomy places the organism in Eukaryota, Metazoa, Chordata, Aves, Psittaciformes, Psittacidae.
AAACAGCCGUAGCGAGCAGAGGCAGCGCCGCUUGGAGGAAAUGAUUCCUGUCACGUAGCCAAAGGGGGCAUAUUUACAUGGCCCCACAUGAUGUGAUGAGGAAAUCCUGUUGCAGAGAAUUCAGGAGAAAAACAAGUAGCUUGCCUGCUCUGCCCCUGUAUUUUGGAAGUCCUGCCUCCACUCCUGCACAGGU